UGGCUCUCGCAUCGAUGAAGAACGCAGCGAAAUGCGAUAAGUAAUGUGAAUUGCAGAAUUCAGUGAAUCAUCGAAUCUUUGAACGCACCUUGCGCCACGUGGUAUUCCACGGGGCACGCCUGUUUGAGUGUCACGUUAACCAUCGCGUCGUGGAUUGAACCUUUGGCUCUCUCGGGAGCUGAUCAGUAUGUCUGCGGGGCGGAUUUGGAGGCUUGCCGUGUGAACGGCUCCUCUCGAAAUGCAUUAGCUGUCUGAAGACCGCGCCGCUGGUGUGAUAAUUUAUUUUGCGCCUAAUGGAACGGUGUUGAAGGUGGCUCAUAAACCGCCCGCGAGGGCAAUAAUUUUAAGCUUUGACCUCAAAUCAGGUGGGACUACCCGCUGA
Molecule: unclassified non-coding RNA, 382 nt
Filed under: uncultured fungus
Lineage: Eukaryota; Fungi
Description: partial contains 5.8S ribosomal RNA and internal transcribed spacer 2
Rfam family: 5.8S ribosomal RNA (bases 1-133)
Source: RNAcentral